This 427-nucleotide ribosomal RNA is filed under the name uncultured bacterium. RNAcentral describes it as "bacterial SSU rRNA". It matches the Rfam family "Bacterial small subunit ribosomal RNA", at positions 355 to 774 of the family's 1533-position model. The record is from RNAcentral.
UGGGGAAUUUUGGACAAUGGGCGCAAGCCUGAUCCAGCCAUGCCGCGUGAGUGAAGAAGGCCUUCGGGUUGUAAAGCUCUUUCGGACGGGAAGAAAUGGCGGGCUCUAACAUAGCCUGUCGAUGACGGUACCGUAAGAAGAAGCACCGACUAACUACGUGCCAGCAGCCGCGGUAAUACGUAGGGUGCGAGCGUUAAUCGGAAUUACUGGGCGUAAAGCGUGCGGAGGUGGUUGUUUAAGUCUGAUGUGAAAGCCCUGGGCUCAACCUGGGAAUGGCAUUCGAAACUGGGCAGCUAGAGUGCGGUAGAGGGUAGUGGAAUUCCCGGUGUAGCAGUGAAAUGCGUAGAGAUCGGGAGGAACAUCUGUGGCGAAGGCGACUGCCUGGACCAGCACUGACACUGAGGCACGAAAGCGUGGGGAGCAAACA